This 253-nucleotide ribosomal RNA is filed under the name uncultured bacterium. RNAcentral's name for it is "partial 16S ribosomal RNA". It matches the Rfam family "Bacterial small subunit ribosomal RNA", at positions 524 to 776 of the family's 1533-position model. The record is from RNAcentral.
UACGGGGGGGGCUAGCGUUGUUCGGAAUUACUGGGCGUAAAGCGCACGUAGGCGGCUUUGUAAGUUAGAGGUGAAAGCCCAGGGCUUAACCCUGGAAUUGCCUUUAAGACUGCAUCGCUAGAAUCGUGGAGAGGUGAGUGGAAUUCCGAGUGUAGAGGUGAAAUUCGUAGAUAUUCGGAAGAACACCAGUGGCGAAGGCGACUCACUGGACACGUAUUGACGCUGAGGUGCGAAAGCGUGGGGAGCAAACAGG